This is an RNA transcript of Urocitellus parryii (Arctic ground squirrel), 1523 nucleotides long. It is a transcript of the gene named ARV1 fatty acid homeostasis modulator, with no coding region annotated. The record is from RefSeq and is a predicted model, not a curated record. NCBI's taxonomy places the organism in Eukaryota, Metazoa, Chordata, Mammalia, Rodentia, Sciuridae.
GACUUCCGCCCGGGACCGGAAGGGCACCCGUGGCCAUGGGAACGGGCGGGCGCAGCGGUCCGCGGCCGGCUAAGGGCGCUGGGGGCGCCGUCUUGGGCCCCUGCCGGUACCGCUGCAUCGAGUGCAACGAGGAGGCGCGGGAGCUGUACCGGGACUACCGCCACGGMGUUCUGAAGAUCACCAUCUGCAAAUCCUGCCAAAAACCUGUAGACAAAUACAUUGAGUAUGAUCCUGUUAUCAUCUUGAUCAAUGCUAUUUUGUGCAAAGCCCAGGCCUACAGACAUAUACUUUUCAAUACCAAAAUAAAUAUCCAUGGAAAACUCUGCAUGUUUUGCUUGCUUUGYGAAGCAUACCUGAGGUGGUGGCAGCUUCAAGAUUCAACCCAGAACACUGCUCCUGAUGACUUGAUCAGAUACGCCAAAGAAUGGGACUUCUAUCGGAUGUUUGCCAUUGCUUCUUUAGAACAGACUGCCUUUUUCAUUGGCAUUUUUACUUUCCUGUGGGCAGAACGACCCAGGACAACAAAGAGAAAGCCCCACUUUAUUUUGUUGCUUAAAGCGCUGCUGUUGUCAAGCUACGGGAAGCUCCUGCUGAUCCCGGCUGUCAUCUGGGAGCAUGACUACACUCCUCUGUGCCUCAAGCUCAUCAAAGUGUUUGUGCUGACAUCAAACUUCCAGGCGGUCAGAGUGGCCCUGAGCAUCAACCGGAAGCUGUCCCUGCUGGCCAUCCUGAGUGGCUUACUGCUGGAGAGCUCCAUGGUGUGCCUCUUCCAGAGGCUGGAGUGGGACGUCAGCAGCGACUGCGCCAUCUAUAAGUCCCAGGACUUCUGAAGGUCUCCUGCCCUGAGUGCCUGCUCUGCCCUCGGUCCUCUUCCUGUCUCUUAUGUGCACCUCUGUGCAUGUUCCUUCCAGGGCACCCUGCCAGCUCUUCCUCUUGCCAGGUCUGCUCUCCAGCGCUGCUGCUGCCCCAGGAGCCACGCCGGGCAACUGCACUCCUGCUCACUGGUGCCUGCCCACCCGCGGCAGCUGUGUUCCCAGGAUUGCCUGGACCAACUCAAUGCUGGCAUUUUGUCCCAUUUCACAAGUGUUUCUACUUGUCACUGUCAGUAUGAUUCACAGUUGGGGAAGCCCUGUCCUGCGGUACGUCAUCUCCCAUCUGCACCCAGGCUCCUGCUGCCCUGCCCUCUCUCAGGGUGCUCUGGGAGGCCCUGUGGCAGCCUCUCCCGGACUGUCAGCCGCACGUGCCUUUCUUCUGCCAUCUGUGGAAAGCAGGACCGAAGCCAAGCUCUGUCCUGAUGAACAAGUGAAGCAAAGAUAAGAGGCGGAGAUGUGGAGUAGAAGCCCUCGUGCCCCAGCCCGCCGGCCAAAAGGUCCACUCCUGAGCCCCACACAGGGCAAGGUUUCAUCCCUUGGAGUGGUCAUGUCUUUUCAAUUGAAAGUUAAGUUACUGGCUUAAAAUGAUGAUAUUUUGUGUUCUUGAAACAGCAGAAACACUUUCCUCUUAAUAAAAGUCUUUCAACUGAA